UGGGAAUAUUGCACAAUGGGGGAAACCCUGAUGCAGCGACGCCGCGUGGAGGAAGAAGGUCUUCGGAUUGUAAACUCCUGUUGUUGAGGAAAAGAGGAUGGUACUCAACAAGGAAGUGACGGCUAACUACGUGCCAGCAGCCGCGGUAAAACGUAGGUCACAAGCGUUGUCCGGAAUUACUGGGUGUAAAGGGAGCGCAGGCGGGUAUGCAAGUUGGGAGUGAAAUACAUGGGCUCAACCCAUGAACUGCUCUCAAAACUGUGUAUCUUGAGUAGUGCAGAGGUAGGCGGAAUUCCCGGUGUAGCGGUGGAAUGCGUAGAUAUCGGGAGGAACACCAGUGGCGAAGGCGGCCUACUGGGCACCGAACUGACGCUGAGGCUCGAAAGUGUGGGUAGCAAACAGGAUUAGAUACCCUAGU
This 418-nucleotide ribosomal RNA is filed under the name uncultured bacterium. RNAcentral describes it as "bacterial SSU rRNA". It matches the Rfam family "Bacterial small subunit ribosomal RNA", at positions 356 to 791 of the family's 1533-position model. The record is from RNAcentral.